This 253-nucleotide ribosomal RNA is filed under the name uncultured microorganism. RNAcentral's name for it is "partial small subunit ribosomal RNA". It matches the Rfam family "Bacterial small subunit ribosomal RNA", at positions 524 to 776 of the family's 1533-position model. The record is from RNAcentral.
AACGUAAGGGGCGAACGUUGCUCGGAAUUACUGGGCGUAAAGGGCCGGUAGGUGGCUUUAUAAGUCAGUUGUCAAAUACCCAUGCUCAACGUGGGAGAGGCGACUGAUACUGUAGAGCUUGAGUAGAGGAGGGGAUGACGGAAUACCCGGUGUAGGGGUGAAAUCUGUUGAUAUCGGGUAGAACACCGAUGGCGAAAGCGGUCAUCUAGCCUCAUACUGACACUCAACGGCGAAAGCCAGGGGAGCGAACGGG